CACAAUUAUGGCACUAGCUAGGUGGCAAUACCUUGCAGGGUUGGGGCAGUGUUCUCCAGGAGGCUCUAUAUACUCCAAACCAGCAUCCAGUAUACGGUGCUGUUUCUCCCAUAACCAGGAUUCAUGGGUCCAGAAAUCAAGAGGUGGAAAUGGGAGUGGCACCAUUCACUACUACCCCUGGUGACCCACACAAGAUUUUUGCUUCCUGUCCCUACGACCUUAUGUUCUAUAGGUCUAGAGGUCUUAGUUCCAAAGGGAGGAAUGUUCCCACCUGGAGAUACAUCACUGAUUCCAUUGAACUGGAAGUUAAGAAUGCCACCUGGCCACUUUGGGCUCUUUAUGCCACUAGAUCAACAGGCAAAGAAGGGAGUUACCAUACUGGCUGAGUGACUGAUCCUGAUUACCAGGGGAAAAUCAGAUUGAUAUUACAUAAUGGAGGUAAAGAAGAGUAUGUCUGGAAUGCAGGAGAUCCCUUAGGGUGUCUCUUAGUACUACCACACCCUGUGAUUAAAGUCAGUGGAAAACUACAGCAACCCAAUUCCGACAUGAUUACUAAUGACCCAGACCCUUCGGGAAUGAAGGUUUGGGUCACCCCACCAGGCAAAGAACCACAACCAGCUGAGUUGCUUGCAGAGGGCAAAGGGAAUACAGAAUGGGUGGUGGAAGAAGGUAGUUAUGGCCCUGGACUAUAGUUGUUAUGAGUAUUUCUGCUUUGUAUGUGUACAUCAGAUACUUUUGUUUUCUUCACUUAUAAAAUAUAAGAUGUAAACAGGGCUAGUGCGUUUUUGGUUGUAUGUAAAUUAGUCAUAUCAUGUUAGGUGCAAGUACGACUUUACAAUUGUCUUUAUUCAGAGAUUAUGUAUGGUUUAAGGAGUUGUGUACAUGUGACAAGUUGACAAGGAGUGGACUGUGUUGGUUAAGACUGUCUGUCAACUUGGUUGGGCCAUGAUUCUUAGUGUUUAUAUGGGAUCACUCCCAUGAUUGAAUCUGCUGUGAGUAGCCAAGCAGUUGAAAGGGAGUUCCCUUGGGGGUAUGGCCUGUAUCCAAAUAAGCAGACUUUCUGGCUUUUUUGCUCACUCUGGAUCUUGCAGCUGCCUCCUGUUCGUCUGACCUCCGGCUCUUGUGACUUGAGCUAUCAGCUGUUCUGCAGAUCUUGAGAUUCAUCAAUCUUCAGGCCUGAGAGUGUGAGCCCUGCUCUCCGCCUGUUGAUCUUAGAUUCACCAGCCCCUGUGGCUAUGUGAAUUGAGAGAGGCCUCUGUCAAGAUCCACACACUUGGGAUGCUCCAUCCUCUGCAAUCAUAUGCAUAGUGUGGUGAAGUAGAUGAAACGUGAAGUGAUUUCACACUGUGGGGGUAGACAGUGAAGAGAAAAUCCGGUACCUCUACUAUUGUGUGACGCCAUUCAGCUAUACGCAUACCCUCCUAAUGGAAUCAGCUGUGCUCUUCCCUGAAGUAUGCUGGGAAUGAAUUCGGGAUGGACUCAGGCUAAGGUACAAUGCUGGGAGUAGCAGGAUUGGGCGAGCGGCCAAGGCCGAGGAAUGCCUUAGUGACAGGAAGGAAAACAUCUCGGCCUGGAUGUGAAGUCCCUGGGAACACUGACUGCCCAUGGAUGUGGGAGAAAAACAACAAGGCUUGGUCCCAGCUGGAAUGGUAUAUACGCUUGUGUCCCUUGCUAGAUGGUUGCGGAGUGCUAAACUGGUCCAGCCACCGCCUUGGGCCAUGGACCU
Loxodonta africana (African savanna elephant) is the source of this 1726-nucleotide long non-coding RNA. RefSeq lists it as uncharacterized. The record is from RefSeq and is a predicted model, not a curated record. The transcript has 3 exons. Lineage: Eukaryota; Metazoa; Chordata; Mammalia; Proboscidea; Elephantidae.